This 921-nucleotide ribosomal RNA is filed under the name Escherichia coli. RNAcentral describes it as "bacterial LSU rRNA". It matches the Rfam family "Bacterial large subunit ribosomal RNA", at positions 2001 to 2916 of the family's 2925-position model. Lineage: Bacteria; Pseudomonadati; Pseudomonadota; Gammaproteobacteria; Enterobacterales; Enterobacteriaceae. The record is from RNAcentral.
GUAAUGAUGGCCAGGCUGUCUCCACCCGAGACUCAGUGAAAUUGAACUCGCUGUGAAGAUGCAGUGUACCCGCGGCAAGACGGAAAGACCCCGUGAACCUUUACUAUAGCUUGACACUGAACAUUGAGCCUUGAUGUGUAGGAUAGGUGGGAGGCUUUGAAGUGUGGACGCCAGUCUGCAUGGAGCCGACCUUGAAAUACCACCCUUUAAUGUUUGAUGUUCUAACGUUGACCCGUAAUCCGGGUUGCGGACAGUGUCUGGUGGGUAGUUUGACUGGGGCGGUCUCCUCCUAAAGAGUAACGGAGGAGCACGAAGGUUGGCUAAUCCUGGUCGGACAUCAGGAGGUUAGUGCAAUGGCAUAAGCCAGCUUGACUGCGAGCGUGACGGCGCGAGCAGGUGCGAAAGCAGGUCAUAGUGAUCCGGUGGUUCUGAAUGGAAGGGCCAUCGCUCAACGGAUAAAAGGUACUCCGGGGAUAACAGGCUGAUACCGCCCAAGAGUUCAUAUCGACGGCGGUGUUUGGCACCUCGAUGUCGGCUCAUCACAUCCUGGGGCUGAAGUAGGUCCCAAGGGUAUGGCUGUUCGCCAUUUAAAGUGGUACGCGAGCUGGGUUUAGAACGUCGUGAGACAGUUCGGUCCCUAUCUGCCGUGGGCGCUGGAGAACUGAGGGGGGCUGCUCCUAGUACGAGAGGACCGGAGUGGACGCAUCACUGGUGUUCGGGUUGUCAUGCCAAUGGCACUGCCCGGUAGCUAAAUGCGGAAGAGAUAAGUGCUGAAAGCAUCUAAGCACGAAACUUGCCCCGAGAUGAGUUCUCCCUGACUCCUUGAGAGUCCUGAAGGAACGUUGAAGACGACGACGUUGAUAGGCCGGGUGUGUAAGCGCAGCGAUGCGUUGAGCUAACCGGUACUAAUGAACCGUGAGG